GACGAACCGUGCGAACGUUGUUCGGAAUCACUGGGCUUAAAGGGCGCGUAGGCGGCUUUGUAAGUUAGAGGUGAAAGCCCGGGGCUCAACUCCGGAAUUGCCUUUAAGACUGCAUCGCUAGAAUUGUGGAGAGGUAAGUGGAAUUCCGAGUGUAGAGGUGAAAUUCGUAGAUAUUCGGAAGAACACCAGUGGCGAAGGCGACUUACUGGACACAUAUUGACGCUGAGGUGCGAAAGCGUGGGGAGCAAACAGG
This 253-nucleotide ribosomal RNA is filed under the name uncultured bacterium. RNAcentral's name for it is "partial 16S ribosomal RNA". It matches the Rfam family "Bacterial small subunit ribosomal RNA", at positions 524 to 776 of the family's 1533-position model. The record is from RNAcentral.